UUGUAGCUAAAGUCAACAGUGACAGAGUUUGAGCUCAAAUAAAUGCUGUGAUGUCUGGAGCCCUUUGCAGAAGGCAGAAGGCAAGCUCCUACAAUGGGCUUCAGUGGGGCUUGCCAACAAGCACCGGCUAUUUUGCACAGGGCUCUGCUGACUGAAGUGAUCCCCACGGCCUGAGCGGAGGAGAGGAGGGAGAGGAAGCCUCGGAGGGAAGAGGGAUAGUUCUGGAGGAGCCUCGCUGACGCACUCACGCUCACAAAAACUCAAACACAAUGUCCCCCUCAGUCCUGGGCUGUGACCGGCCCGUGGCAUUGCCCAGAAAUUCAUGGAUGUUCCUAUGAAGAGACACAUCCAGGCAGCCUCACUUUCAUCUCCCUGCAUCAUUUGAGCUGAAAGCUCCUUCCUGUCGAUGCACUUGGCUAUAUCUACGUCUGACCUGUCUGCUAUAUGUAAUAUCAAAGCCUCUGUCAGCACGGAGCUGAAUGGGAACAAAAGAGAUGCCUCUAUUAAUGAUUAACUGUUCUAAAAGCCCCGGCUUUUGUAUUCCCAUGGUGCCCAGGCUAUCUGGCCACCAUGUGACAUGCUCACAGCAUUUUUUGAGCAGAUUGGGGGAAAGCUAGUGAGCAAACACAGGUGCUUUGGAGCAGCGGUGCCGACGCUGUCAGGGACAACCACAAACAAGAGCAGCUAUGCCUGGCUAAAUGAAUCCCCACCCCUCCCAGCACCAUCACCACCUCCUCAACCCCCCGCUCUGUCACCAGCUAACUUGUUUGCUAGCUCCCUAUAGCUUUCUCCUUCUGCAUGGUGGCCGCCCCCCGCCCCUCUUCCUUGCACAAAUGCAAUGUCCGCUGCAGUCAGGCUCCAGAACUUCUCACACUCUCCAAAGAAACAAACAAAUAAAAGUGAGGACGGCCGACCACUUCUUUGAGGUGAUGGCAUUUGCUGCGGUCAUGACUAGUGGGAGAGCAAACAAAUUAAUGGUGUCCGUGUUUUCACUUUCUAAACCAAACUAAAUGUCUUUUAGUUCAAGUGGGGCAAUACAACUGACCUCGAUGUCAAAUGCUGCGUAAAGGUUGCACACUCUUGCACUUGAAAUGCUGAGAAGAGGCCAUAAGAAAUUAACCAGAACUUGAGUAAUAUUAUAUAUGAGUAGAAAAAUAACAAAGUAAACAUGUAAAAAUCUAAAUAAUCUACUGAAAAAAAAGAGUGUUUUAGCAGCAAGCUAUAACCAAAGAUGACUGAAGUGCUUAACCUUUUCAUCACAGUGACUUGGGGUGCUGUGUCUCUCAAGUUUGAUAAGACAAUCAGAUGAUAGGAUGGCGUUAUCUUAACACGGCUUUUCCUGCUGGGAGACAAAUGAACAGCGAAUGAUAAAGGGAACAAAAGCUUUGCUCUCAUAGGCUGGUACCUCAGAGCAAAGGAAAAAUGAUCAGAGUGGAAAAUUCACAUAAGGUGCCCAUAUUUCAUUUUCAAUUUGGCUCUCAAGCUAAAUCACAGGAACAGCAUUUUAAAAUUUUUUUAAAAUCAUUUUAUAUCUUUAUUAUCUAAUGAUGGAUUUUGGGUUUGAAAACUGCUCGUACCUGACCCUGUAGAUCAGCUAUCAAAGAAUAAAGGUGAUAAAAUGCUUCACAAAAACUGAACAUCAGGGAGAGAAGAAAUAAAUCUACCGCCAUGCAAGUAGCAAACACAGAAAAAAGGUCUGGCUAGAAAAGAUGAGAAAUCAAGGAAAAAGCGAAAAUGUCAGCAUUGUUUCUUGUGUUUGAGAUGAACAGUCUUCCAGAAAAAAAGUGAAAUGUGGUUUCUUCUUGAACCCUCCACUGAUCAAUGAAACCUCAAUUUUCUGUGGGUUCUCUGACUUUUGCAGCCUAUUUCUCAUAGUAAGAAAAAAUGUGUAUACACAUGGAUGUGGUCCAAAGUUUUGUUUGCUCAUUUCCCCCCCCAAAAAUGAUUGGAAAUAAGUAUAAUUUAAAACUGAAUAUAUUGUCAUGUAUGAAUAAAGUAUUUUAUUUUUAA
This is a long non-coding RNA of Xiphophorus couchianus (Monterrey platyfish), 2010 nucleotides long. RefSeq lists it as uncharacterized. The record is from RefSeq and is a predicted model, not a curated record. NCBI's taxonomy places the organism in Eukaryota, Metazoa, Chordata, Actinopteri, Cyprinodontiformes, Poeciliidae. The transcript has 3 exons.